This is a long non-coding RNA of Dromaius novaehollandiae (emu), 534 nucleotides long. Lineage: Eukaryota; Metazoa; Chordata; Aves; Casuariiformes; Dromaiidae. The record is from Ensembl.
GUUCUCUGCCCAGUUAAUGCUGUGAACUGCAGUCAUUCAGCUCAACGUUUUCCCUGCAGCUCUGUUCCCCUGCCCCUCUCCUGAAGUGGUGAGACUGUAGCUGCAAGAGAAGGGAGUGUCUUCAAAACUGCUUUCCUGAAAGAAAGAAAAAAAGGAGCAGGACAAAGGACUUGGACACUAGACAGGGAGUUCUCACAGACUCCCCCACUUUUCAUUCCUGAAAUGGUUGAAGAACUGUGCUUUGCUGGGAGCUGCAGGAGCGUGGUGUUGCCCAGGACCAGAGAACUGCUGUGCGCCAGACAGGUGAUGCUGCACAUGGGGUCGGCAGCUCUUCUCAGGUUGAAACUGCGUAGCCAGAGGAGUACGACCCCUUCAGGCAUUCAGCUUUCAGAAAGACCCAGGUCUCCUCAGAAAAACAUCAAGAAGACCAAAGGUUGGAGCUCAAAGCUUCUCACUGAGUGGCAUCAUUUUGGACAGCCCUUGGAAAGGUAUGGUAUUUGUAAAGUUUCCAAAAUUGGCAGCAAGAGAAAGUAA